AUACGUAGGUGGCAAGCGUUGUCCGGAUUUACUGGGCGUAAAGGAUGCGUAGGCGGAUAUUUAAGUGAGAUGUGAAAUUCCCGGGCUUAACUUGGGGGCUGCAUUUCAAACUGGGUAUCUAGAGUGCAGGAGAGGAGAAUGGAAUUCCUAGUGUAGCGGUGAAAUGCGUAGAGAUUAGGAAGAACACCAGUGGCGAAGGCGAUUCUCUGGACUGUAACUGACGCUGAGGCAUGAAAGCGUGGGUAGCAAACAGGAUUAGAUACCCUGGUAGUCCACGCCGUAAACGAUGAGUACUAGGUGUAAGAGGGUCCAACCUUCUGUGCCGCAGUUAACACAAUAAGUACUCCGCCUGGGAAGUACGAUCGCAAGAUUAAA
Molecule: ribosomal RNA, 375 nt
Filed under: uncultured bacterium
Lineage: Bacteria
Description: bacterial SSU rRNA
Rfam family: Bacterial small subunit ribosomal RNA
Source: RNAcentral